AUGGUGAAGAAGCAACCAUUGAGCUCGCUCUUCUACCCCGUCAACUCGGCCAACAAAGACACUCCGCCGUCGUCGCCUCCCACUCCGACGGCCACCCCACAGGCAUGGAUGUGGCCUUCCUGCAAGAACCCAACGGCUCAUUCCUUCCGGUCCCCGUCCGCUUCUGCGGCGGCGGCGGUGGCAGCCAAGAACGCCGCAUCCCUUUUCGUCGACUCCUCCGCCCGCAUGCACCACGACUGUGCCGCCUCCGACAGCCUCUCCACGGAGUCCGAAGCCUCCGGCGCCGCGGCCGAGGACAUGGCCGACGCCAUAGUCCGCGGUCUCCGGUCCGACCGCCUCCGCUUCGAGCCCCGCGCGCCCUCUAGCUCCAUCCUCGAGAAGAAGCCACCUCCAGCACCCGCGCGCGGCCAUGAGGCUGCGGGGGCGACGUCGUUCGGCGGCGGCGUCGCGGUGGCGUUCGAGUCCGUGGACCCGUACCGGGACUUCCGGUCGUCAAUGGAGGAGAUGAUGACGGCGCACGGCGCGGGCGACUGGGACUGGCUAGAGAAGAUGCUGGGGUGGUACCUCCGCGCCAACGGCAAAGGCACCCACGCCGCCAUCGUCAGCGCGUUCGUCGACCUGGUCGUCACCACGACAGCCAGCUCCUCCUCCGGCCACUCCUCCUUCACGCUCGCCGGGAGCGACUUGGAGAGCAGUAGCGCCGGCCGCAAUGGAUCUUUCCGCCUGAGGUGA
RNAcentral lists this ribosomal RNA (732 nucleotides) under Triticum aestivum (bread wheat). RNAcentral's name for it is "partial small subunit ribosomal RNA". The record is from RNAcentral. Lineage: Eukaryota; Viridiplantae; Streptophyta; Magnoliopsida; Poales; Poaceae.